This 463-nucleotide RNase P RNA is filed under the name Ignavibacteria bacterium. RNAcentral's name for it is "RNase P RNA component class A". It matches the Rfam family "Bacterial RNase P class A". Rfam says of the family: Ribonuclease P (RNase P) is a ubiquitous endoribonuclease, found in archaea, bacteria and eukarya as well as chloroplasts and mitochondria. Its best characterised activity is the generation of mature 5'-ends of tRNAs by cleaving the 5'-leader elements of precursor-tRNAs. The record is from RNAcentral. Lineage: Bacteria; Pseudomonadati; Ignavibacteriota; Ignavibacteria.
AUGGUCGGCCAGGCAGCCGCUCUCCGCCUUUGGCGGAGGGAGGAAAGUCCGAACACCAUAGGGCAAGGUGCCCUGGGAUAACCAGGGGUCCCGCGGGCAAUAUCCCGCGAGAACGGAUCGUGUCACAGAAAACACACAUCUGCCCCGCCUCGGGCGGAGCAGAGAAAGGUGAAAUGGUGGUGUAAGAGACCACCGCGUCGGCAGUAAUGCCGGCGGUCCCGCUCCGAGGGAAUCCCUUCGGGAAAAGGGAUCCCGACGAAACCGAUGGUUGAGUCGGGACAGGACAAACCCCACCUGGUGCAAGACCAAGUAAGUCCCGUUCUCCGCCUCCGGCGGAGAAAGAGCUGCCCGCUCAAUCCUCUUCGGAGGGACUGGACGGGUAGGUCGCUCAGAGAAAUGGCUGCCUCGUUCCGUUCUCCGGGACGGGAUCAGACAGAAUUCGGCUUAUCGACCGACCAUUACC